RNAcentral lists this ribosomal RNA (435 nucleotides) under Triticum aestivum (bread wheat). RNAcentral describes it as "partial small subunit ribosomal RNA". The record is from RNAcentral. Lineage: Eukaryota; Viridiplantae; Streptophyta; Magnoliopsida; Poales; Poaceae.
AUGACAAAAUCAGAUUCCCUACACGUGUGUAUCUAUCAAGUCAUCUUACUAGCGGCUGUUCAAUUGACCUUGAUCAUGCAGGAACGUCACUGGAUUCUGGAAUCUGACCGAGAUCCCGCCGGAGCUCUUCAACUCGAUGGAGUUGGUCUCUCUAACUCCGCGUCCUACUUCUCGAUGGACGCUGCAUCCUUCCCCAGCAGGCUGCCAAUGGCUGCGUGCCUGCGCCCUGCUGCUUCUGCGCCGGUGCCGGCCACCACGCCCAAUCGCCACGGCCAGCGGCAGCAGUCUCCUCGGCGGACGGCAGUGUGCAAGUGUGCACCCUGGCACUGGGGACUAGAGACGUGCAACAUAGAAGGCCAGCAGCUAAGAGCUGAGCAGCUAUACACAGAGCCGGAGGUAAGAUUGAGGUGGACCAGAUUGCUAAUUUCUACCUAG